RNAcentral lists this ribosomal RNA (465 nucleotides) under uncultured bacterium. Its description in RNAcentral is "partial 16S ribosomal RNA". It matches the Rfam family "Bacterial small subunit ribosomal RNA", at positions 28 to 507 of the family's 1533-position model. The record is from RNAcentral.
GACGAACGCUGGCGGCGUGCUUAACACAUGCAAGUCGAACGGAAAGGCCCCUUUGGGGGUACUCGAGUGGCAAACGGGUGAGUAACACGUGAGUAACCUGCCCUUGACUUCGGGAUAACUUCAGGAAACUGGGGCUAAUACCGGAUAGGAAUCCUUGCUGCAUGGUGGGGGUUGGAAAGCUUCGGCGGUUUUGGAUGGACUCGCGGCUUAUCAGCUUGUUGGUGGGGUAGUGGCUUACCAAGGCUUUGACGGGUAGCCGGCCUGAGAGGGCGACCGGCCACAUUGGGACUGAGAUACGGCCCAGACUCCUACGGGAGGCAGCAGUGGGGAAUAUUGCACAAUGGGCGGAAGCCUGAUGCAGCAACGCCGCGUGCGGGAUGACGGCCUUCGGGUUGUAAACCGCUUUCAGCAGGGGCGAAGCUUGUGGUGACGGUACCUGCAGAAGAAGCACCGGCUAACUACGUG